GACUGCAGGCUGCAACUCGCCUGCACGAAGUCGGAAUUGCUAGUAAUCGUAGGUCAGCAUACUACGGUGAAUACGUUCCCGGGCCUUGUACACACCGCCCGUCACACCAUGAGAGUCGGGAACACCCGAAGUCCGUAGCCUAACAGCAAUGAGGGCGCGGCCGAAGGUGGGUUCGAUAAUUGGGGUGAAGUCGUAACAAGGUACC
RNAcentral lists this ribosomal RNA (205 nucleotides) under uncultured bacterium. Its description in RNAcentral is "partial 16S ribosomal RNA". It matches the Rfam family "Bacterial small subunit ribosomal RNA", at positions 1296 to 1500 of the family's 1533-position model. The record is from RNAcentral.